RNAcentral lists this ribosomal RNA (439 nucleotides) under uncultured bacterium. Its description in RNAcentral is "partial 16S ribosomal RNA". It matches the Rfam family "Bacterial small subunit ribosomal RNA", at positions 339 to 795 of the family's 1533-position model. The record is from RNAcentral.
CUACGGGAUGCACCAGUGGGGAAUAUUGCACAAUGGAGGAAACUCUGAUGCAGCAACGCCGCGUGGAGGAUGACACUUUUCGGAGCGUAAACUCCUUUUAUAUAGGAAGAUAAUGACGGUACUAUAUGAAUAAGCACCGGCUAACUCCGUGCCAGCAGCCGCGGUAAUACGGAGGGUGCAAGCGUUACUCGGAAUCACUGGGCGUAAAGAGCGUGUAGGCGGGUUAAUAAGUCAGAAGUGAAAUCCUAUGGCUCGACCAUAGAACUGCUUUUGAAACUGUUAACCUAGAGUGUGGGAGAGGUAGAUGGAAUUUCUGGUGUAGGGGUAAAAUCCGUAGAGAUCAGAAGGAAUACCGAUUGCGAAGGCGAUCUACUGGAACAUAACUGACGCUGAGACGCGAAAGCGUGGGGAGCAAACAGGAUUAGAUACCCGCGUAGUC